This 372-nucleotide ribosomal RNA is filed under the name uncultured organism. RNAcentral describes it as "partial 16S ribosomal RNA". It matches the Rfam family "Bacterial small subunit ribosomal RNA", at positions 527 to 897 of the family's 1533-position model. The record is from RNAcentral.
GUAGGUGGCAAGCGUUGUCCGGAAUUAUUGGGCGUAAAGCGCGCGCAGGCGGUUCUCUAAGUCUGAUGUGAAAGCCCACGGCUCAACCGUGGAGGGUCAUUGGAAACUGGAGAACUUGAGUACAGAAGAGGAAAGCGGAAUUCCACGUGUAGCGGUGAAAUGCGUAGAGAUGUGGAGGAACACCAGUGGCGAAGGCGGCUUUCUGGUCUGUAACUGACGCUGAGGCGCGAAAGCGUGGGGGAGCAAACAGGAUUAGAUACCCUGGUAGUCCACGCCGUAAACGAUGAGUGCUAAGUGUUAGGGGGUUUCCGCCCCUUAGUGCUGCAGCUAACGCAUUAAGCACUCCGCCUGGGAGUACGGCCGCAAGGCUGA